AAUGAUGAAAAUGUUGUUGUUAUACCCAUGAAAUUUGAUUGAAUAUUGUUAAUCAUAAAAAUGUUGGUGCUAAACCCAUGAAAUUUGAUUGAAUUGUGGGAAUGAUGUAAAUCUUGUUUUAAACCCAAGAAACUUGAUUGAAUUGUGUGAAUGAUGAAAAUGUUGUUGUUAAACCCAUGAAAUUUGAUUAAGUUGUGUGAAUGAUGAAAAUGUUGUUGUUAAACCAUGAAUUUGAUUCAAUUGUGAGAAUGAUUAAAAUAUUGUUCUUAAACCAUGAAAUUUUAUUAAAUUGUGUGAAUAAUUAAAAUAUUUUUGUUAAACCCAUGAAAUUUAAUUAAAUUGUGGAAUGAUGAAAAUGUUGUUGUUAAACCCAUGAUAUUUGAUUGAUAUUGUUAAUCAUAAAAAUGUUGGUGUUAACCCAUGAAAAUAUAAUCGAAUUAUGGGAAUGAUGUAAAUCAUGUUUUAACCCGUGAAAUUUGUUGAAUUGUGUGAAUGAUGAAAAUGUUGUUGGUAAACCCAUAAAAUCUGAUUGAAUUGUGUGAAUAAUUAAAAUAUUAUUGUUAAACCCAUGAAAUUUGAUUAAGUUGUGGAAAUGAUGAAAAUGUUGUUGUUAAACCCAUGAAAUUUGAUUGAAUUGUGUGAAUGAUGAAAAUGUUGUUGUUAAACCCAUGAAAUUAGAUAGAAUUGUUGUGAAUGACGUAAAUGUUGUUGUUAAACCCAUGAAAUUAGAUAGAAUUGUGUGAAUGCUG
RNAcentral lists this long non-coding RNA (749 nucleotides) under Lathyrus oleraceus (garden pea). RNAcentral describes it as "Pisum sativum (pea) long non-coding RNA (PSAT_LNC012049)". Lineage: Eukaryota; Viridiplantae; Streptophyta; Magnoliopsida; Fabales; Fabaceae. The record is from RNAcentral.